RNAcentral lists this long non-coding RNA (2352 nucleotides) under Nicotiana tabacum (common tobacco). RNAcentral's name for it is "long non-coding RNA (NTAB_LNC015469)". The record is from RNAcentral. Lineage: Eukaryota; Viridiplantae; Streptophyta; Magnoliopsida; Solanales; Solanaceae.
UCUAUUAUAGAAUGGAUUUGUGGAAUCAAAGGGAUUAAAAGAAAAGAAGAAGAAAAUUGGAAGGUUUCGGGAUUAAGAGGUCACUAGACCAAAAAUAUCAUUUUGAGGUGCUUAAGUUAUGUUCGUGCCACGACCCGGAAUUCCCACCAUAGGGACCGUGAUGGCGCCUAACAUUUACUUGCAUGGCAUCUCGUAUUGGACUUGGUGCGGUAUUGAUGCAGGGUGGCAAGGUAAUUGCAUAUGUUUCACGGCAGCUGAAGAUCCACGAGAAGAAUUACCCUGUUCAUGAUCUAGAGUUGGCAGCCAUUGUUCAUGCGUUGAAGAUAUGGAGGCACUAUCUUUACGGUGUGUCAUGUGAAGUGUUCGCGGAUCAUUGGAGCUUGCAGUAUUUGUUCAAGCAAAAGGAGCUCAAUUUGAGGCAGAGAAGGUGGUUAGAGCUAUUGAAAGACUAUGAUAUCACCAUCUUGUAUCAUCCCGGGAAGGCCAAUGUGGUGGCUGACGCUUUGAGUAGAAAGUCAACUAGUAUGAGCAGCCUUGCGUAUAUUCCAGUUGGUGAGAGACUGUCACACCCCAAACCUAGGGAGGCGUGGCUGGCACCCGAUGCCGCACUGGCCCGAGCGAACCACUCUGUAACUCAUUUCUUCUUUUUGUGACUAUCAUGGGCCAACAUGGCCACAGCUAGUAUGUACAAUUGUAAGUGAGAAAACACUAUAUCAUUUAACCCUUUUCCUUAAAACAUUAAUACAUUUGGGCCGUCAAGGCAUCUGACAUACUGUACAAAAUGAACCUCUGUCUACAAAGCCUCUAAGAUCAUUUGGCAUCAAAUGGGACAGGGUACUGGCCUACCCAUAAUUCUGUAGAAAACUUCUGACACAAUGACUCAUAGACUCGGCUGCACUCCGAAUGAGGUAGAGUUUUACCGAUCCUUCGCUGAAGCCAAUCUCGUCUACUAUGAAAGUUCGUCAAACUGUUUUUCUAUACCUGCAGGCAUGAAUGCAGAGUCCCCAACAAAAGGACGUCAGUACGAAUAAUGUACUGAGUACGUAAGACACAUAAAUAAGUAUAUAAAAGACCUCGAAGAAACAUGAAGUAAAUGACUUAACCUGUAAGUCUAGGUAACUCUGUAAAUUAUGAAAUAUCUAUAAUGUUAUGCACAUGCAUAUAAAUGUCAUAUGAUGCAUAGGUCUGUACAUACAUAACAUCAUCAAGCCUCUGAGUGCAUCCCAUCAUAUCAUCUCGGCCACUGUAGGCAAAUCGUCAACGUAUACCAGCUGAUCAGGUGGUGGUACGUAUAUAACGUCGUAACCUUUUCCCAUAUCCCAUAUAAAUAUAAUAUACAUAUAUACGCGUAUAUAAUGCCAUCUGGUCAUGGGUCAAUGUACAUGUAUAAAUGAAUGCAAUGCGUGAAACGUACGUCAGUAAAAUCUUUCGAAGUGUCAAAAGGCUAUUAUACCUCUGAGUAAUAUCAUGAAACAAACUUCAUUAACUUACAUAUUUUCUGAGACCCAUGAACAGAUGAUAAAAUAAUAGGACACAUGGGAAUUCAAGAACAUAUGCACCUCUAAUACUUCUCUGAAUAUAGUCAAUUAUGAAAGUUGUGCAUUUUCUCGUUUCAUUUGUAUCGUACGGAUCAUGCCAAAAAGAAAGAAGGGAUAGCCUUAACAUACCUGGAGUAGGGAAAAAUCCGUAUGAUAUUCUUGGGAAAGAUUGUACCGUGCUUCUUCAUUGCAAUCUAUGCAGUAAGCAAUGGUUGAGUAGUUAUUACUAACAUCUGCUUUCACUUCCAUGUUUAAGGUAAAAGAUGAGCUCUAUUUCCGCAUCACCUACAUUUGCGGCAUGUCAAAGUUGCUUCCAUUCAACUUCUAAACAAUGAACACAAUCAAAUAUAUAUCCAGCAGGAACAUGGUACAACUUCAAGUGGUAUACAUAAUCUUUUAUAAAUACCAAAAGAAUAAAAGUUAAAUCACAAGCAAUACUUAUUUUUAAUCUACGUUAAGCAUAAUCCGCUACCAAACAAUGGGUAAGUACUUGAGUUAGAGCUAGAGAUUCACAUAGAAACACUGACCUUCUCUAGCUCCAUUAAAUCUUAAUCGCAAGGAUUUUCAAAUACAGACUGUUUUGGCUUCCUUCGAGAUAUCAAAGACAGCUAUUGAAAAUCUCACUUUAAAUUUGAUAACCAUUAGAGAAAUUGGCUUGACUAGCAAAAAUAAUAUUAACACUGAAGUAACUGGUACUCUUGGAAACCAUACUUGGAAUAUAAAUUUGAAAAGUAAUAAUGGGUGAGGAGUUUUGUAGGAAAUUUGCAUUCUAUCUCAUUGAUGUCUUGGAAACGUUAGAGAAGAUGGAGUAGUG